GUUAAGAUAGCAAAGGGGUAAUGCAAUAGAUUUAGGAUCUUUUAUCAAGGGUUCAAGUCCCUUUCUUAACU
Molecule: transfer RNA, 71 nt
Filed under: Linckia guildingi
Lineage: Eukaryota; Metazoa; Echinodermata; Asteroidea; Valvatida; Ophidiasteridae
Description: tRNA-Leu
Rfam family: tRNA
About the family: Transfer RNA (tRNA) molecules are approximately 80 nucleotides in length.
Source: RNAcentral